This 1321-nucleotide ribosomal RNA is filed under the name Drosophila willistoni. RNAcentral's name for it is "large subunit ribosomal RNA". The stretch from base 1070 to 1229 matches the Rfam family "Archaeal large subunit ribosomal RNA", at positions 2544 to 2703 of the family's 2987-position model. The record is from RNAcentral. Lineage: Eukaryota; Metazoa; Arthropoda; Insecta; Diptera; Drosophilidae.
UUAGAUUUUAUUUAUUAAUAAUUUAUAUUUUUUUGUAAAAUAUUAAAAAUAAUUAUAAAAUAUAAAGUUUUAGUAUUGUUUAAAGAAAAAAUAAUUUUAAUAAUAGUUUAAUAGUAUUGUAAAAGAAAAUUGAAAUAAUUUGAAAAAAUUUUAUUAUAAAAGAAAAUUUAAUUUAUUGUACCUUGUGUAUCAGCGUUUAUUAAAUAAAAAAUAUUAAUAAAUAUUUUUCUCGAUUUUAAAAGAGUUAAUAUAAUAUAAAAGUUAAUGUGAUAAAAUUAUUUUAAAUAUUAUAUUAGAAAUGAAAUGUUAUUCGUUUUUAAAGGUAUCUAGUUUUUCAAGAAAUAAAUUUAAUUUAGAAAUUAUAAAUUUAUUUUAAAAAUUUUUUAAUAAAAUAAUUUAUAAUUUUAAUAUUUUAUGGGAUAAGCUAUAAAAUAAAUUUUUAAAAAUAAUAAAUAAAUUUAAUAAAUAUAUGCUUAGAAUUAGCAAUUGUUAAUAAUUAUGUUAUAAUUUAUUUUAUAAAUAAAAUUAUUUAUUAAAUUUUAAUUAUUUAUUGAAAUAUUAAUUUUAAUUAUUAAAAUUAAGUAAUAAUGAUAGAAUUAGUAUAUUAUAUUGUAAAAAUAAAUUUUAAUGAUAAGUUUAAAUAAAGAAUUCGGCAAAAAUAAUGUUCGCCUGUUUAACAAAAACAUGUCUUUUUGAAAUAAAUUUAAAGUCUAACCUGCCCACUGAAUUUUUAAAUGGCCGCAGUAUUCUAACUGUGCAAAGGUAGCAUAAUCAUUAGUCUUUUAAUUGAAGGCUGGAAUGAAUGGUUGGACGAAAUAUUAACUGUUUCAUUUAAAAUUUUUAUAGAAUUUUAUUUUUUAGUCAAAAAGCUAAAAUUUAUUUAAAAGACGAGAAGACCCUAUAAAUCUUUAUAUUUUGUUUAUUUUAAUUGUAAAGAUUUUUUUUAUUAUAAUAAAUUAAAAUAUUUUAUUGGGGUGAUAAUAAAAUUUAAUAAACUUUUAAUUUUAAAACCAUUAAUUUAUGAAUAAUUGAUCCAUUAAUAAUGAUUAAAAAUUUAAGUUACUUUAGGGAUAACAGCGUAAUUUUUUUGGAGAGUUCUUAUCGAUAAAAAAGAUUGCGACCUCGAUGUUGGAUUAAGAUAUAAUUUUGGGUGUAGCCGUUCAAAUUUUAAGUCUGUUCGACUUUUAAAUUCUUACAUGAUCUGAGUUCAAACCGGCGUAAGCCAGGUUGGUUUCUAUCUUUAAAAAAUUGUAAUAUUUUAGUACGAAAGGACCAAAUAUUAAAAUAAUUAUAUUUUAAAAAAGAAUAUCAUUAAUAAUAA